RNAcentral lists this ribosomal RNA (545 nucleotides) under Pichia sp. S432Y31. Its description in RNAcentral is "eukaryotic LSU rRNA". It matches the Rfam family "Eukaryotic large subunit ribosomal RNA", at positions 84 to 656 of the family's 3401-position model. Lineage: Eukaryota; Fungi; Ascomycota; Pichiomycetes; Pichiales; Pichiaceae. The record is from RNAcentral.
UAGCGGCGAGUGAGCGGCAAGAGCUCAGAUUUGAAAUCGUGUUUCGGCACGAGUUGUAGAGUGUAGGCGGGAGUCUCUGUGGAGCGCGGUGUCCAAGUCCCUUGGAACAGGGUGCCUGAGAGGGUGAGAGCCCCGUAGGGUGCUGCGCGAAGCUUUUGAGGCCCUGCUGACGAGUCGAGUUGUUUGGGAAUGCAGCUCCAAGCGGGUGGUAAAUUCCAUCUAAGGCUAAAUAUUGGCGAGAGACCGAUAGCGAACAAGUACUGUGAAGGAAAGAUGAAAAGCACUUUGAAAAGAGAGUGAAACAGCACGUGAAAUUGUUGAAAGGGAAGGGUAUUGGGCUCGACAUGGGGGGUGCGCACCGCUGUCUCUUGUAGGCGGCGCUCUGGGCGCCCUCUGGGCCAGCAUCGGUUCCUGCUGCGGGAGAAGGGGCUCCGGAAAGUGGCUCUUCGGAGUGUUAUAGCCGGGGCCAGAUGCCGCGUGUGGGGACCGAGGACUGCGGCUUCUGUCUCGGAUGCUGGCAUAACGGCGCAAUACCGCCCGUCUUA